AACGAACGCUGGCGGCAGGCCUAACACAUGCAAGUCGAACGCCGUAGCAAUACGGAGUGGCAGACGGGUGAGUAACGCGUGGGAACAUACCCCCUCGGUUCGGAAUAACUCAGGGAAACUUGAGCUAAUACCGGAUACGUCCGAUGUUUUAAUCGACCUUGGAGAAAGAUUUAUCGCCGGAGGAUUGGCCCGCGUCUGAUUAGCUUGUUGGUGAGGUAAUGGCUCACCAAGGCGACGAUCAGUAGCUGGUCUGAGAGGAUGAUCAGCCACAUUGGGACUGAGACACGGCCCAAACUCCUACGGGAGGCAGCAGUGGGGAAUAUUGGACAAUGGGCGAAAGCCUGAUCCAGCCAUGCCGCGUGAGUGAUGAAGGCC
RNAcentral lists this ribosomal RNA (375 nucleotides) under uncultured bacterium. Its description in RNAcentral is "bacterial SSU rRNA". It matches the Rfam family "Bacterial small subunit ribosomal RNA", at positions 29 to 416 of the family's 1533-position model. The record is from RNAcentral.